UCUACAGGCUUAACACAUGCAAGUCGAGGGGCAGCAUGGUCUUAGCUUGCUAAGGCCGAUGGCGACCGGCGCACGGGUGAGUAACGCGUAUCCAACCUGCCUUACACUCUUGGACAGCCUUCUGAAAGGGAGAUUAAUACAAGAUGUUAUCAUGAGUAAGCAUUUUCGCAUGAUUAAAGGUUUACCGGUGUAAGAUGGGGAUGCGUUCCAUUAGAUAGUAGGCGGGGUAACGGUCCACCUAGUCUUCGAUGGAUAGGGGUUCUGAGAGGAAGGUCCCCCACAUUGGAACUGAGACACGGUCCAAACUCCUACGGGAGGCAGCAGUGAGGAAUAUUGGUCAAUGGACGAGAGUCUGAACCAGCCAAGUAGCGUGAAGGAUGAAGGUUCUAUGGAUUGUAAACUUCUUUUAUACGGGAAUAAACGAAUCCACGUGUGGAUUUUUGCAUGUACCGUAUGAAUAAGGAUCGGCUAACUCCGUGCCAGCAGCCGCGGUAAUACGGAGGAUCCGAGCGUUAUCCGGAUUUAUUGGGUUUAAAGGGAGCGUAGAUGGGUUGUUAAGUCAGUUGUGAAAGUUUGCGGCUCAACCGUAAAAUUGCAAUUGAUACUGGCAGUCUUGAGUACAGUUGAGGUAGGCGGAAUUCGUGGUGUAGCGGUGAAAUGCUUAGAUAUCACGAAGAACUCCGAUUGCGAAGGCAGCUUACUAACCUGUAACUGACAUUGAUGCUCGAAAGUGUGGGUAUCAAACAGGAUUAGAUACCCUGGUAGUCCACACGGUAAACGAUGAAUACUCGCUGUAGGCGAUAUACAGUCUGCGGCCAAGCGAAAGCAUUAAGUAUUCCACCUGGGGAGUACGCCGGCAACGGUGAAACUCAAAGGAAUUGACGGGGGCCCGCACAAGCGGAGGAACAUGUGGUUUAAUUCGAUGAUACGCGAGGAACCUUACCCGGGCUUAAAUUGCAACCGAAUAUGGCGGAAACGCUAUAGCUAGCAAUAGCGGUUGUGAAGGUGCUGCAUGGUUGUCGUCAGCUCGUGCCGUGAGGUGUCGGCUUAAGUGCCAUAACGAGCGCAACCCUUGCCGAUAGUUACUAACAGGUCAUGCUGAGGACUCUGUCGGGACUGCCAUCGUAAGAUGUGAGGAAGGUGGGGAUGACGUCAAAUCAGCACGGCCCUUACGUCCGGGGCUACACACGUGUUACAAUGGGGGGUACAGAGGGCUGCUACCACGCAAGUGGAUGCCAAUCCCAAAAACCUCUCUCAGUUCGGAUUGAAGUCUGCAACCCGACUUCAUGAAGCUGGAUUCGCUAGUAAUCGCGCAUCAGCCACGGCGCGGUGAAUACGUUCCCGGGCCUUGUACACACCGCCCGUCAAGCCAUGGGAGCCGGGGGUACCUGAAGUGCGUAACCGCAAGGAGCGCCCUAGGGUAAAACUGGUGAC
Molecule: ribosomal RNA, 1434 nt
Filed under: uncultured organism
Description: SSU rRNA
Rfam family: Bacterial small subunit ribosomal RNA
Source: RNAcentral